UACCAGCUCUCUGAGUUGUAGGGAUGAUUAUUGGGCUUAAAGCGUCCGUAGCUGGCUUAGCAAGUCUCCUGUUAAAUUCAGCGACCUAAUCGUUGAGCCGCGGGAGAUACUACUAGGCUAGGAGGCGGGAGAGGUCGACGGUACUUUCGGGGUAGGGGUGAAAUCCUAUAAUCCCGGGAGGACCACCAGUGGCGAAGGCUGUCGACUAGAACGCGCUCGACGGUGAGGGACGAAAGCUGGGGGAGCGAACCGGAUUAGAUACCCGGGUAGUCCCAGCUGUAAACUAUGCGGGCUAGGUGUUGGGGUGGCUACGGGCCACUUCAGUGCCGCAGGAAAGCCAUUAAGCCCGCCGCCUGGGGAGUACGGCCGCAAGGCUGAAACUUAAAGGAAUUGGCGGGGAGCACCACAAGGCGUGAAGCUUGCGGUUC
RNAcentral lists this ribosomal RNA (428 nucleotides) under uncultured archaeon. RNAcentral's name for it is "bacterial SSU rRNA". It matches the Rfam family "Archaeal small subunit ribosomal RNA", at positions 474 to 903 of the family's 1478-position model. The record is from RNAcentral.